UGAUAAAUUAAAAUAAUCUUUACCAUUCAGUGAUAACAAGCAGUUUUUUUUACAUCUUAAUAUUUUAUGAUGUAUUUAAAUGAGUAGUUAUUGUUGCAAACUCCAUUAGAAAUUUUAAUUGAGAUUAGUUUUGGAAUAAGGGAAAGGGGGAUGUGAUUAAAAAAAUUGGGUCCAAUUUUUCUCAUUUGAAAUUUCAUAAAUAAAAAAGAAAAUUUCUUCAAACAUUUUUUUGAGAGGAUUAAUAUUCAACAGCAUAGUGAAUUGCUCUAAGAGAAAACAAAAAUUUUAAGUUCAUUAGAACGCAUUCAUUCUGUGUCAGAAACCUAUGCCAUGUAUGCUGUGUCAACUAUUUAAUCACAAUCCAAAUUUAGAGCUGAAUCCAGCUUGAAUGUUGUGUCCAUACUUGCCCC
This 410-nucleotide long non-coding RNA is filed under the name Mytilus galloprovincialis (Mediterranean mussel). The record is from RNAcentral. Lineage: Eukaryota; Metazoa; Mollusca; Bivalvia; Mytilida; Mytilidae.